Molecule: ribosomal RNA, 327 nt
Filed under: uncultured eukaryote
Lineage: Eukaryota
Description: partial 18S ribosomal RNA
Rfam family: Eukaryotic small subunit ribosomal RNA
Source: RNAcentral
CCCUUAGAUGUUCUGGGCCGCACGCGCGCUACACUGACGAAUGUAACGAGCUUAUAACCUUGGCCGAAAGGUCUGGGUAAUCCCCAAAUUUCGUCGUGAUGGGGAUAGAUUAUUGCAAUUAUUAAUCUUCAACGAGGAAUGCCUAGUAAGCGCAAGUCAUCAGCUUGCGUUGAUUACGUCCCUGCCCUUUGUACACACCGCCCGUCGCUCCUACCGAUUGAAUGGUCCGGUGAAGCGCUCGGACCGCGGCCUCUUGACGGUUCGCUGUCGAUUGGCUGUGGGAAGUUCGUUAAACCUUAUCAUUUAGAGGAAGGAGAAGUCGUAACA